GACGAACGCUGGCGGCGUGCUUAACACAUGCAAGUCGAACGGAAAGGCCCUGCUUUUGUGGGGUGCUCGAGUGGCGAACGGGUGGGUAACACGUGAGUAACCUGCCCUUGACUUUGGGAUAACUUCAGGAAACUGGGGCUAAUACCGGAUAGGAGCUCCUGCUGCAUGGUGGGGGUUGGAAAGUUUCGGCGGUUGGGGAUGGACUCGCGGCUUAUCAGCUUGUUGGUGGGGUAGUGGCUUACCAAGGCUUUGACGGGUAGCCGGCCUGAGAGGGUGACCGGCCACAUUGGGACUGAGAUACGGCCCAGACUCCUACGGGAGGCAGCAGUGGGGAAUAUUGCACAAUGGGCGGAAGCCUGAUGCAGCAACGCCGCGUGCGGGAUGACGGCCUUCGGGUUGUAAACCGCUUUCGCCUGUGACGAAGCGUGAGUGACGGUAAUGGGUAAAGAAGCACCGGCUAACUACGUGCCAGCAGCCGCGGUGAUACGUAGGGUGCGAGCGUUGUCCGGAUUUAUUGGGCGUAAAGGGCUCGUAGGUGGUUGAUCGCGUCGGAAGUGUAAUCUUGGGGCUUAACCCUGAGCGUGCUUUCGAUACGGGUUGACUUGAGGAAGGUAGGGGAGAAUGGAAUUCCUGGUGGAGCGGUGGAAUGCGCAGAUAUCAGGAGGAACACCAGUGGCGAAGGCGGUUCUCUGGGCCUUUCCUGACGCUGAGGAGCGAAAGCGUGGGGAGCGAACAGGCUUAGAUACCCUGGUAGUCCACGCUGUAAACGGUGGGUACUAGGUGUGGGGUCCAUUCCACGGGUUCCGUGCCGUAGCUAACGCUUUAAGUACCCCGCCUGGGGAGUACGGCCGCAAGGCUAAAACUCAAAGGAAUUGACGGGGCCCCGCACAAGCGGCGGAGCAUGCGGAUUAAUUCGAUGCAACGCGUAGAACCUUACCUGGGUUUGACAUGGAUCGGGAGUGCUCAGAGAUGGGUGUGCCUCUUUUGGGGUCGGUUCACAGGUGGUGCAUGGCUGUCGUCAGCUCGUGUCGUGAGAUGUUGGGUUAAGUCCCGCAACGAGCGCAACCCUUGUUCACUGUUGCCAGCACGUUAUGGUGGGGACUCAGUGGAGACCGCCGGGGUCAACUCGGAGGAAGGUGGGGAUGACGUCAAGUCAUCAUGCCCCUUAUGUCCAGGGCUUCACGCAUGCUACAAUGGCUGGUACAGAGAGUGGCGAGCCUGUGAGGGUGAGCGAAUCUCGGAAAGCCGGUCUCAGUUCGGAUUGGGGUCUGCAACUCGACCUCAUGAAGUCGGAGUCGCUAGUAAUCGCAGAUCAGCAACGCUGCGGUGAAUAAGUUCCCGGGGCU
Molecule: ribosomal RNA, 1346 nt
Filed under: uncultured bacterium
Lineage: Bacteria
Description: partial 16S ribosomal RNA
Rfam family: Bacterial small subunit ribosomal RNA
Source: RNAcentral